CAGUCGCCGCGGGAAAACGGAGGGGGCUAGCGUUGUUCGGAAUUACUGGGCGUAAAGCGCACGUAGGCGGCUUGGUAAGUUAGAGGUGAAAGCCUGGAGCUCAACUCCAGAAUUGCCUUUAAGACUGCCGAGCUAGCAGGUGAGAGAGGUAAGUGGAAUUCCGAGUGUAGAGGUGAAAUUCGUAGAUAUUCGGAAGAACACCAGUGGCGAAGGCGGCUUACUGGCUCAUACUGGACGCUGAGGUGCGAAAGCGUGGGGAGCAAACAGGAUUAGAUACCCCCGUAGUCCCUGUCUCUUAUAC
This 301-nucleotide ribosomal RNA is filed under the name uncultured bacterium. RNAcentral describes it as "partial 16S ribosomal RNA". It matches the Rfam family "Bacterial small subunit ribosomal RNA", at positions 509 to 807 of the family's 1533-position model. The record is from RNAcentral.